Molecule: ribosomal RNA, 318 nt
Filed under: CFB group bacterium OI-15-2
Lineage: Bacteria; Pseudomonadati; Bacteroidota
Description: bacterial SSU rRNA
Rfam family: Bacterial small subunit ribosomal RNA
Source: RNAcentral
UCCUGGCUCAGGAUGAACGCUAGCGGCAGGCUUAACACAUUGCAAGUCGAGGGGUAGGUUCUUCGGAACCAGAGACCGGCGCACGGGUGCGUAACGCGUAUGCAAUCUACCUUUCACAGAGGGAUAGCCCAGAGAAAUUUGGAUUAAUACCUCAUAGUAUAUUGGUCUCGCAUGAGAUCAUUAUUAAAGAUUUAUCGGUGAAAGAUGAGCAUGCGUCCCAUUAGUUAGUUGGUAAGGUAACGGCUUACCAAGACUACGAUGGGUAGGGGUCCUGAGAGGGAGAUCCCCCACACUGGUACUGAGACACGGACCAGACUC